This 7886-nucleotide unclassified non-coding RNA is filed under the name Hevea brasiliensis (rubber tree). The record is from RNAcentral. Lineage: Eukaryota; Viridiplantae; Streptophyta; Magnoliopsida; Malpighiales; Euphorbiaceae.
CCAGAGGAGGCUCUAACGUCGGUGCUGUUCUGCCUCUCGCAUUCCUCGGCUCUUUGCCACGGCCUCCCUCUUCCCUGCAAUCAAUAAAUCUCCUUUGAUUUCUCUGCUCUCUCUUUGGCUGGCUUUGCUUGUUUUCUUCGAGUUAUUCAAUGCUGGAUCUAGUAAAAUCCGCCUGCAUGAUACAAGAGGAGAUUUUCUUUUGAGCAGUGUUUCAUAAUUUCGGAGAAAUUCGGCUUACAUACAUGUUUAUAUAUAUAAAAUCUUAGAACUCUUUCUUUAUCCAAAUUAUUGUUUAAGAUCCAGUGUUUUUCCUCCUAAAUCAAUCAGACUUUCUUCUAUUUAUAUUUUGAAUUCAGAAUCGCUAGAUUUGGCUGCGAAGACACACUGAAUCGCUUCAAAAUCUCCUAAAAGCUGUAGAUAGAUAAAGAGCUCUUGCAGAUCUCUGAUAUAAGGUUUCUGAUCUGAAACUCUGUGUUUCAUAUCUGCUGGAAUUUCAUAUACAGAGCUCAAAAACAGAGUUCUGAUUGAUAGAAACAAAUUUCUAUAAGAAAAAAAGAACAGUUGUUCGAACCCGUAAAGCUCGCCAAAUUUUGGGGCUUUCAUCUCUAUCUAUUAUCUUUUGUUUUUAAAAAAAAAACCCGGAGCAUUUCUGUUAGCCUCCUGGUUAGUUAAUAAUGUCGACGACAUACAACUCUCUCCUCAAGCCCCGAGCUCACUCAUCUGCUCUUUCAACCAUCAGUAAACCUUCCAUUUCGCCUAAAUUGAAUGUUAUUGCUCCCUUAUCUCGCCGGAAUAACAGAACUACAAGAUGCUCUGCUGCCAAGAAAUCGACUGUGGUGGAGAAGCAUUUCUUCGGAACCAAACUGUGGGCUCCUGGAACGGAGAGGCUUCAUUUAUGGCAAUCGGAUGGUCCCGGACGGUCCCCAAAGCUUCGGGUUGUGGUUCGUUCCGCAUUGUCCGGAGUGCCGGAGAAACCCCUUGGUCUUUAUGAUCCGUCAUUUGAUAAGGACUCUUGUGGGGUCGGAUUCGUGGCUGAUUUAUCUGGUGACAGCAGCCGUAAAACAGUGACAGAUGCACUGGAGAUGUUGACACGCAUGUCGCAUAGAGGUGCUUGUGGGUGUGAAACGAAUACCGGUGAUGGAGCUGGGAUUCUUGUCGCCCUUCCUCACGAUUUCUACAAGGAGGUUGCUAAGGAUAUCGGGUUCGAGCUGCCGCCACCUGGAGAAUAUGCAGUUGGCAUGUUCUUUUUGCCCACAUCAGACAACCGAAGGGAAGAAAGCAAAAAUGUGUUUACCAAGGUAGCGGAGUCUCUUGGGCAUACAGUCCUUGGCUGGCGACGAGUGCCGACAGACAACUCAGGAUUGGGCAAUACUGCUUUGCAGACUGAACCUGUGGUUGAGCAAGUAUUCCUCACACCUACUCCUAGGUCAAAAGCUGAUUUUGAGCAACAGAUGUACAUAUUACGAAGAGUGUCAAUGGUGGCUAUCCGAGCUGCAUUGAACCUUCAGCAUGGUGGAGUUAGGGACUUCUAUAUAUGUUCUCUUUCCUCGAGGACUAUUGUCUACAAAGGUCAAUUGAAGCCCAUUCAAUUGAAGGAUUAUUAUCAUGCAGAUCUUGGCAAUGAAAGGUUUACGAGCUACAUGGCCCUGAUACACUCUCGAUUUUCUACAAAUACAUUUCCUAGCUGGGAUCGUGCUCAGCCUAUGCGUGUCUUGGGCCAUAAUGGGGAAAUUAAUACGCUUAGAGGCAAUGUGAACUGGAUGAAGGCACGUGAGGGUCUAUUGAAGUGCAAGGAGCUUGGUCUGUCCAAGAAUGAGAUGAAGAAGCUUCUACCUAUUGUGGAUGCUAGUUCUUCUGACUCAGGGGCUUUUGAUGGUGUACUUGAGCUUCUAGUUCGAGCUGGGAGAAGUCUCCCUGAAGCUAUCAUGAUGAUGAUCCCUGAAGCUUGGCAAAAUGAUAAGAAUAUGGAUCCUCAUCGGAAAGCCUUAUAUGAAUACUUCUCAGCCCUCAUGGAGCCUUGGGAUGGGCCUGCACUUAUUUCAUUUACGGAUGGCCGGUACCUCGGAGCUACACUUGAUCGCAAUGGACUGCGGCCAGGUAGGUUUUAUGUUACGCGGAGUGGACGGGUUAUUAUGGCUAGCGAAGUUGGUGUUGUGGAUAUUCCACCUGAAGAUAUCCUCAGGAAAGGAAGACUUAACCCUGGAAUGAUGCUUCUGGUUGAUUUUGAGAAGCAUAUGGUUGUAGAUGAUGAAGCCUUAAAGCAGCAGUACUCCCUAGCAAGGCCCUAUGGGGAGUGGCUGAAAAGGCAAAAGAUUGAACUCAAGGACAUUGUUGGCUCUGUUCCAGAAGCUGAUCAGGCUAUUCCUCCUGUAGCUGGAGUUGUUCCUACAUCUAAUGAUGAUGACAACAUGGAGAACAUGGGCAUUAAUGGUUUAGUAGCUCCAUUGAAAGCUUUUGGUUAUACUGUUGAAGCUUUGGAGAUGUUGUUGCUUCCCAUGGCAAAAGAUGGGACUGAGGCUCUUGGUUCGAUGGGAAAUGAUGCUCCCUUGGCUGUUAUGUCUAAUAGGGAAAAGCUCACUUUUGAGUACUUCAAGCAAAUGUUUGCUCAAGUGACAAACCCCCCAAUUGACCCUAUUAGAGAGAAGAUAGUCACUUCAAUGGAGUGCAUGAUUGGACCAGAAGGUGAUCUGACAGAAACAACUGAGGAGCAAUGCCAUCGUCUCUCACUAAAAGGCCCUCUCUUAUCUAUUGAGGAAAUGGAAGCUAUUAAAAAGAUGAAUUAUAGAGGUUGGCGAAGCAAAGUCCUUGAUAUAACAUACUCAAAGGACUGUGGUAGGAAGGGAUUGGAGGAUACAUUAGAUAGGAUUUGUGCUGAAGCACAUGAUGCAAUUAAGGAGGGUUAUACUUUAUUGGUUCUUUCUGACAGAGCCUUCUCAUCAAAGCGUGUUGCUGUAAGCUCACUCUUGGCUGUUGGUGCUGUCCAUCACCACCUGGUAAGGAAGCUUGAGCGCACCCGUAUAGGUUUGAUAGUUGAAUCUGCUGAACCACGUGAAGUGCACCAUUUCUGUACAUUGGUUGGAUUUGGUGCUGAUGCCAUAUGCCCAUAUUUAGCCAUAGAAGCUAUCUGGAGAUUGCAGGUUGAUGGGAAGAUCCCACCAAAAUCUACUGGUGAAUUCCACUCAAAGGAUGAGCUAGUCAAGAAGUAUUUCAAAGCAAGCAACUAUGGAAUGAUGAAGGUUCUUGCUAAAAUGGGGAUUUCAACUUUGGCCUCAUACAAGGGUGCUCAGAUUUUUGAAGCUCUGGGCCUUUCAUCAGAAGUGAUUGAGAAGUGCUUUGCAGGAACUCCCAGCAGAGUAGAGGGGGCAACCUUUGAGAUGCUUGCUUACGAUACACUUCAUUUGCAUGAAUUAGCAUUUCCAUCCCGGGUCUAUCCUCCUGGAAGUGCUGAAUCUGUGGCACUCCCCAAUCCUGGGGAUUACCAUUGGAGGAAGGGUGGAGAAAUCCACUUGAAUGAUCCUCUUGCUAUAGCAAAGCUUCAAGAAGCUGCCAGAGCUAAUAGUGUGGCUGCCUAUAAGGAAUAUUCUAGACGCAUUCAGGAGUUGAACAAAGCCUGCAAUUUACGUGGGCUUUUAAAGUUCAAAGAGGCAGAGGUAAAAGUUCCAUUAGAUGAAGUGGAACCAGCUAGUGAAAUUGUUAAACGGUUCUGUACAGGAGCUAUGAGUUAUGGAUCAAUAUCCUUGGAGGCACACACAACACUGGCUAUUGCUAUGAAUAAAAUUGGAGGGAAAUCAAACACUGGUGAGGGAGGUGAACAACCAUCUCGCAUGGUGCCUCUUCCUAAUGGUUCAACUAAUCCAAAGAGAAGUGCAAUCAAGCAGGUUGCAAGUGGGAGAUUUGGAGUUUCAAGUUAUUAUCUGACAAAUGCUGAUGAACUACAGAUCAAGAUGGCUCAGGGGGCUAAGCCUGGGGAAGGUGGUGAGCUUCCUGGCCACAAGGUCAUAGGAGACAUUGCAGUUACCAGAAAUUCUACAGCUGGGGUGGGACUUAUCAGUCCUCCUCCCCAUCAUGAUAUCUACUCAAUUGAAGACCUUGCCCAGUUGAUUCAUGACCUUAAGAAUGCGAAUCCAGGGGCUCGAAUUAGUGUCAAAUUAGUAUCUGAGGCUGGUGUGGGGGUGAUUGCUAGCGGUGUGGUGAAGGGGCAUGCGGACCAUGUGUUGAUCUCAGGUCAUGAUGGAGGUACAGGGGCUUCUAGGUGGACUGGCAUCAAGAAUGCUGGGCUCCCUUGGGAACUAGGUUUGGCUGAGACCCAUCAAACUCUUGUUGCUAAUGACCUUCGUGGCCGCACAGUUCUUCAGACAGAUGGCCAACUUAAAACUGGAAGGGAUGUGGCCAUUGCUGCACUUCUUGGUGCAGAAGAAUUUGGCUUCAGCACUGCACCCCUCAUAACUCUUGGCUGCAUCAUGAUGCGAAAAUGCCACAAGAAUACUUGUCCUGUUGGCAUUGCCACUCAAGAUCCAGUUCUGAGGGAAAAAUUUGCUGGAGAACCUGAGCAUGUUAUUAAUUUCUUCUUUAUGUUGGCAGAGGAGCUGAGGGAGAUAAUGUCUGAGCUUGGUUUCCGUACUGUCAAUGAGAUGGUUGGUCGCUCGGACAUGCUUGAAGUUGAUGAAGAAGUCGUUAAGAACAAUGAGAAGCUGGAAAAUAUUGACCUCUCCCUGCUACUUAGGCCUGCUGCUGACAUUCGGCCUGAAGCUGCCCAGUAUUGUGUCCAAAAGCAGGAUCAUGGAUUGGAAAUGGCUUUGGAUAAAAAAUUGGUAACACUUUCCAAGGCUGCUUUGGAGAAAAGUCUUCCUGUGUACAUUGAGAGUUCAAUCUGCAAUGUGAAUCGUGCUGUUGGAACAAUGCUUAGCCAUGAAGUUACCAAGAGUUACCACUUGGCAGGGCUUCCUGCAGAUACUAUAUAUGUCAAGCUUAAUGGAAGUGCAGGGCAGAGUCUGGGAGCUUUCCUUUGCCCUGGCAUCACCCUAGAGCUAGAGGGUGACAGCAAUGACUAUGUUGGUAAAGGCUUAUCAGGUGGAAAGAUUGUCGUUUAUCCUCCAAAGGGUAGCUUAUUUGAUCCAAAAGAUAAUAUCGUUAUUGGCAAUGUAGCUCUAUAUGGGGCCACCAGUGGUGAGGCAUACUUCAAUGGGAUGGCGGCUGAAAGGUUCUGUGUACGUAAUUCAGGGGCCAGGGCAGUUGUAGAAGGUGUUGGUGAUCAUGGAUGUGAGUACAUGACAGGUGGGACUGUUGUUGUACUUGGGAAAACUGGCAGGAAUUUUGCUGCAGGUAUGAGUGGUGGUAUUGCUUAUGUUCUUGAUGUUGAUGGGAAAUUUCAUUCUCAAUGCAAUCCUGAGCUGGUAGAUCUUGAUAAAGUUGAGGAAGAAGAGGAUAUUAUGACUCUGAGAAUGAUGAUACAGCAACAUCAGCGUCACACAAACAGCCAGCUAUCUAGAGAAAUACUAGCUGAUUUUGAAAAUCUUCUGCCAAAAUUUGUCAAGGUCUUCCCCAGGGAUUACAAGCGUGUUCUUGCAAACAUGAAACAAGAAGCAGCCCUAAAGGAGGUUGCUGUUAAAGAAGCCGAGGAGCAGGAUGAAGCAGAGCUGAUGGAGAAGGAUGCUUUUGAGGAGCUCAAGAAGUUGGCAGCUGCCUCUUUGAAUGAGAAAUCCAGUCAGAAGGUAGAAGAUGCUGAAACAGUGAAAAGGCCUACUCUGGUUAAUGAUGCUGUUAAACACAGAGGCUUCAUUGCUUAUGAGCGUGAGGGUGUUCAAUACAGGGAUCCUAAUAUUCGAAUGAAUGACUGGAAAGAAGUAAUGCAGGAAUCAAAACCUGGGCCACUUCUGAAGACUCAGUCAGCUCGUUGCAUGGACUGUGGUACUCCUUUCUGCCAUCAGGAGAACUCUGGUUGCCCUUUGGGAAACAAAAUACCUGAAUUCAAUGAAUUAGUAUACCAAAAUAGAUGGCACGAAGCAUUGCAUAGGCUCCUUGAGACAAAUAACUUCCCAGAAUUCACUGGCCGUGUGUGCCCUGCACCUUGUGAAGGUUCUUGUGUUCUUGGUAUCAUUGAGAAUCCUGUAUCUAUCAAAAGCAUUGAAUGUGCAAUCAUUGACAAGGCCUUUGCGGAAGGGUGGAUGGUGCCACGGCCACCCCUUAAGAGAACAGGGAAGAGAGUUGCUAUUGUUGGAAGUGGACCAGCUGGCUUAGCUGCUGCUGAUCAACUAAAUAGAAUGGGUCACUCGGUGACUGUGUAUGAGCGUGCUGAUCGAAUUGGAGGACUGAUGAUGUAUGGUGUUCCCAACAUGAAGGCUGACAAAGUGGAUAUUGUUCAACGUCGUGUUGAUCUAAUGGCUAAGGAAGGCAUCAAUUUUGUGGUCAACGCUAAUGUUGGAAUUGAUCCUCUGUACUCUCUUGAUAGGCUUCGAGAGGAGAAUGAUGCCAUUGUUUUGGCAGUAGGAGCCACAAAGCCAAGGGACCUUCCCGUACCAGGACGUGAGUUAUCAGGUGUCCAUUUUGCCAUGGAGUUUCUUCAUGCAAAUACAAAAAGUUUGCUUGACAGCAGUCUAGAGGACGGUAACUACAUAUCUGCAAAGGGAAAGAGAGUAGUUGUCAUUGGUGGAGGUGACACUGGUACAGAUUGUAUAGGAACAUCUAUCAGACAUGGUUGUAAUGGCAUUGUAAAUCUAGAGCUUUUACCAGAGCCACCAAGAACCAGAGCGCCUGGGAACCCCUGGCCACAGUGGCCUCGUAUAUUCCGUGUAGAUUAUGGGCACCAGGAAGCUGCUGAAAAGUUUGGCAAGGACCCAAGGUCCUAUGAGGUGUUGACAAAGCGUUUCAUUGGAGAUGAACAUGGUAAUGUGAAAGGACUUGAGUUAGUACGUGUCCACUGGGAGAAGGAUGCUAGUGGGAAGUUUCAGUUUAAGGAGGUUGAGGGCAGCGAGGAAACAAUUGAGGCUGACCUUGUCCUACUGGCCAUGGGGUUCCUUGGUCCCGAGUCGAAUGUGGCAGACAAGUUGGGCUUGGAGCUAGACAAUAGAUCAAACUUCAAGGCUGAGUACGGCCGCUUCUCUACCAGUGUGGAAGGUGUCUUUGCAGCUGGAGAUUGCAGGCGUGGCCAGUCCUUGGUUGUCUGGGCAAUAUCAGAAGGACGUCAAGCCGCUUCCCAGGUUGACAAAUAUCUCAUGAAACAAGAGGAUGCCGCAAUUAGCAUGGACACCCAAGAUGACCUUGUCAAGAGACAUCAAGAUCUUACCAAGAGGCAACAAGACAGCAAACACACAGUCGUGACAUAGGUGACCGUUGCCUUCAUAGUCCUUUGAAAGAAGUAGAAUUGAUUCACAUACUACUCUAAAAAAUCCGAAAUUGUCACAUGGAUGAUGCAAGGAGGGAAACAAUUCUCUGUGCUUAACCAACUGGAGAAUAAAACGUUAAGUUAUGGAGCUGACUGGUACAGAAAAUGGAAUAUUAUUGUGUUUUUUUUGUUCUAUAUCAUAUCGUUGAUAGCCUGGCCCAGCAUGUUUGAAAGUUGGCUUUUGUGGCCCUCGUUGAUGAAUAGUGUACAGUUUUGCUUCAUCUUGCAAUAUGUUUUGGCAAGAUUUGCUGGUUUCUUUUUGGUUAUACUCCCCGUCCUCUUGUUUUCUCCUUUGCCUCUCAGCACAACGUGAAUAAGCUUUAUCCACAAAUGAACUUCAAGGGACGGUUGAUUGAAAUGUACUUCCAUGGUUCUAAUCGAUGUGAUCUUUUUAUUUUUUUAAAAGCAUUUUGGUAUCCUCCCAAGAGCAGUGCGCCAGUACCUGAAAUAUUUUUUCCCUGUGAUAUGCAAAUGUCUUUUUGAGUGUAAUUAUCCAACUUAAAUG